AUUGAACGCUGGCGGCAGGCCUAACACAUGCAAGUCGAGCGGAUGAAGGGAGCUUGCUCCUGGAUUCAGCGGCGGACGGGUGAGUAAUGCCUAGGAAUCUGCCUGGUAGUGGGGGAUAACGUCCGGAAACGGGCGCUAAUACCGCAUACGUCCUGAGGGAGAAAGUGGGGGAUCUUCGGACCUCACGCUAUCAGAUGAGCCUAGGUCGGAUUAGCUAGUUGGUGGGGUAAAGGCCUACCAAGGCGACGAUCCGUAACUGGUCUGAGAGGAUGAUCAGUCACACUGGAACUGAGACACGGUCCAGACUCCUACGGGAGGCAGCAGUGGGGAAUAUUGGACAAUGGGCGAAAGCCUGAUCCAGCCAUGCCGCGUGUGUGAAGAAGGUCUUCGGAUUGUAAAGCACUUUUAGUUGGGAGGAAGGGCAGUAAGUUAAUACCGUGCUGUUUUGACGUUACCAACAGAAUAAGCACCGGCUAACUUCGUG
RNAcentral lists this ribosomal RNA (484 nucleotides) under uncultured bacterium. Its description in RNAcentral is "partial 16S ribosomal RNA". It matches the Rfam family "Bacterial small subunit ribosomal RNA", at positions 30 to 507 of the family's 1533-position model. The record is from RNAcentral.